UUUGCGCAUCAAUAAAAUGGUUUAUCUGAAAAGAUAAUGAAAAGGGAAUGGAGUGAAAAUCUCCAACAGGCCCGCUGCUGUAAGCUCAAUGGUUUAACAAGCUUGGUUGUCCACUGUUGUAAAAUGGGAAGGACCUUGUUAAGAGUAAGUCAGAAUACCUGCCAUUUUAGGUUUUGUUUA
This 180-nucleotide non-coding RNA is filed under the name Myroides odoratus. Lineage: Bacteria; Pseudomonadati; Bacteroidota; Flavobacteriia; Flavobacteriales; Flavobacteriaceae. The record is from RNAcentral.